RNAcentral lists this ribosomal RNA (501 nucleotides) under uncultured bacterium. RNAcentral describes it as "partial 16S ribosomal RNA". It matches the Rfam family "Bacterial small subunit ribosomal RNA", at positions 30 to 523 of the family's 1533-position model. The record is from RNAcentral.
AUUGAACGCUGGCGGCAGGCUUAACACAUGCAAGUCGAGCGGGGGAAGGUAGCUUGCUACCGGACCUAGCGGCGGACGGGUGAGUAAUGCUUAGGAAUCUGCCUAUUAGUGGGGGACAACAUCUCGAAAGGGAUGCUAAUACCGCAUACGUCCUACGAGAGAAAGCGGGGGAUCUUCGGACCUUGCGCUAAUAGAUGAGCCUAAGUCGGAUUAGCUAGUUGGUGGGGUAAAGGCCUACCAAGGCGACGAUCUGUAGCGGGUCUGAGAGGAUGAUCCGCCACACUGGGACUGAGACACGGCCCAGACUCCUACGGGAGGCAGCAGUGGGGAAUAUUGGACAAUGGGGGGAACCCUGAUCCAGCCAUGCCGCGUGUGUGAAGAAGGCCUUAUGGUUGUAAAGCACUUUAAGCGAGGAGGAGGCUACUCUAGUUAAUACCUAGGGAUAGUGGACGUUACUCGCAGAAUAAGCACCGGCUAACUCUGUGCCAGCCGCCGCGGUAA